GGGCUGCACCAGACUCUGGGGGGAGGUGAGCUCACAAAGGACCUUGGGUCUGGCUUGGGCCAGGUCACGCUUGAUAGCAGAUGCCCUGUCCCACUGUCACAUCCUGAUUUCUGGUCCACAAAACCUGGUCACCCGAAAGCCCACCGUCCCACCCUCAGAGAAUGUACAGUCAAGGCUUUUUCUUCCUCCUAUAACUCUGGAGACUAGAAAGGUCAGGUUGACACCAAGGCGAGGGGUAGGAACCUGACCUGCCCGAUGGCAUGUAACGACAUGGACCCAAGCCAGAAUCACACCCAGGCCUGGCUGGUUUCAAAUCCUGUGCCCGCCAGCCCCAGGCUGCAUCAAGAACUAGAGCAGUCCCCUCCUGCAAGGCCACGCAAGCACACACACAGAAGGGAAUCUUUCCGGAGGGGUGGCACAGAGGCCCGGACGGCUGGCCCUGGUGAAUCUACCUGUUCCAUGGCACAGGGGCCUACCAUCCAGCACAGCCAAGGAGUGGGGUCUUCACCAAGUACUUGCGUGAUGAACAUGAGCCCAGGGCUCGGGGCUGGGGACCACCAGGCCACCUUGGGAGAAUUCAGGGAGGUUCUAAAACACAUCUGUUUGUGGAACCCCUACUUGUUCUCUUUGGUUCCCUUUGGUCCCUUUGGUUCCACCAAAGGACCUACAUGCAAACUUAUCUCCAGAGAUGGGGAGAGGCUGGAUGGGGCAGCGGGUGCUCUGUCCCCACAGAGA
This is a long non-coding RNA of Panthera uncia (snow leopard), 735 nucleotides long. RefSeq lists it as uncharacterized. The transcript has 3 exons. NCBI's taxonomy places the organism in Eukaryota, Metazoa, Chordata, Mammalia, Carnivora, Felidae. The record is from RefSeq and is a predicted model, not a curated record.